CGGGGCCUAUCAGGCUUGUUGGUGGGGUAAUGGCCCACCAAGGCGACGACGGGUAGCUGGCGUGAGAGCGUGGCCAGCCACACUGGGACUGAGACACGGCCCAGACUCCUACGGGAGGCAGCAGUGGGGAAUCUUGGGCAAUGGCGAAAGCCUGACCCAGCGACGCCGCGUGGGGGAAGAAGGCCCUCGGGUUGUAAACCCCUUUCGGCAGGGACGAAGCGAAAGUGACGGUACCUGCAGAAGAAGCCCCGGCCAACUACGUGCCAGCAGCCGCGGUAAGACGUAGGGGGCGAGCGUUACCCGGAUUCACUGGGCGUAAAGCGCGCGCAGGCGGCCACGUAAGUCGGAUGUGAAAUCCCACGGCUCAACCGUGGAACUGCACCCGAUACUGCGUGGCUAGAGGCAGGUAGGGGCGAGCGGAAUUCCCGGUGUAGCGGUGAAAUGCGCAGAUAUCGGGAGGAACACCGGUGGCGAAGGCGGCUCGCUGGGCCUGUCCUGACGCUCAGGCGCGAAAGCUGGGGGAGCGAACAGGAUUAGAUACCCUGGUAGUCCCAGCCGUAAACGUUGGGUGCUAGGUGUGGGGGGACAUCGACCCCUUCCGUGCCGAAGCUAACGCAUUAAGCACCCCGCCUGGGGAGUACGG
This 643-nucleotide ribosomal RNA is filed under the name uncultured actinomycete. RNAcentral describes it as "bacterial SSU rRNA". It matches the Rfam family "Bacterial small subunit ribosomal RNA", at positions 232 to 885 of the family's 1533-position model. Lineage: Bacteria; Bacillati; Actinomycetota; Actinomycetes; Actinomycetales. The record is from RNAcentral.